Long non-coding RNA from Musa acuminata AAA Group (dessert banana), 389 nucleotides. RefSeq lists it as uncharacterized. The record is from RefSeq and is a predicted model, not a curated record. Lineage: Eukaryota; Viridiplantae; Streptophyta; Magnoliopsida; Zingiberales; Musaceae. The transcript is spliced from 3 exons.
UCUGUGGAGAGACUACUUCAGUAUACAAGCAAUCCAUGUGAACCACCACUCAUCCUAAAUGAGAACAGACCUCAUCAUAGCUGGCCUUCAAGGGGGGAAAUAAAACAUUCUGAACUUGCAGUUGUUAUAUAGGUGAACAAACAUCCAAGGAAACAAAUACUGUUCAUGCCCAAGGUCAGAAUUGAAAUGCAAAGGUUUGUUACAGCCUGCACAUGCCUCUUGUGUUAAGGGGUCUCACUUGCAGAUUUCCUGGAGGAAGAAGACCGGGAUUGUCAGCAGGACAGGCAGUGGAAAACCCACCCUGAUACAAACAAUCUUUCGUAUAAUCGAUCCUACUGUCGCUCACAUAUUCAUAGAUGGCACUGACAUUUCAACCAUUGGAUUGCAUG